This 31-nucleotide non-coding RNA is filed under the name Rattus norvegicus (Norway rat). Lineage: Eukaryota; Metazoa; Chordata; Mammalia; Rodentia; Muridae. The record is from RNAcentral.
UGUGUCUACGGUGUGCUCACUUCUAUUCCUU